UGAGUAAACUGGGCAGCCGCGGAGGUCGAGAAAAGGCCUUCGAGGAAAGUCCGAGCUCCGCAGGGCAGGGUGCUGGGUAACACCCAGUGGGGGCGACCCUAAGGAAAGUGCCACAGAAAUUAAACCGCCCUUUAAGUAAAGGGUAAGGAUGAAACGGUGCGGUAAGAGCGCACCAGCAGCCGGGCGACCGGCCGGCUAGGCAAACCCCACCCGGAGCAAGACAGAAUAGGAGGGAGAUGACGUUGCCCGCCGAAUCCCUCGGGUAAAGUCGCUGGAGGUGUCAGGCAACUGGCAUCCAAGAUAGAUGGCUGCCGCUCCUUUUAGUUUUAAUGGAGAUACAGAACUCGGCUUACAAGUUUGCUCAUUGU
This 368-nucleotide RNase P RNA is filed under the name Bacillota bacterium. RNAcentral's name for it is "Firmicutes bacterium (anaerobic digester metagenome) RNase P RNA component class A". It matches the Rfam family "Bacterial RNase P class A". From Rfam's summary of the family: Ribonuclease P (RNase P) is a ubiquitous endoribonuclease, found in archaea, bacteria and eukarya as well as chloroplasts and mitochondria. Its best characterised activity is the generation of mature 5'-ends of tRNAs by cleaving the 5'-leader elements of precursor-tRNAs. Lineage: Bacteria; Bacillati; Bacillota. The record is from RNAcentral.